This 293-nucleotide ribosomal RNA is filed under the name Amblyomma tonelliae. RNAcentral describes it as "partial small subunit ribosomal RNA". Lineage: Eukaryota; Metazoa; Arthropoda; Arachnida; Ixodida; Ixodidae. The record is from RNAcentral.
GAAAACAAAAAGUUUUGGCGGUAUCUUAAGCUUUUCAGAGGAAUUUGCUCUUUAAUGGAUAAAACGCCAGAAUCUUACUAAGAUUAGUAAAAUCAGUUUGUAUACCACUAUAAAAACAAUUAUUAAUAAUAAUUGUUUCAAAAUUAUAAUAAAUAAAAAAUUAAGUCAAGGUGCAGCAAAAAUUUUAGUAUGAAGUGAAUUACAAAGCUUUUUAGAAAUUUAUUAAAAAAAAUUAGGAUUUGAAAGUAAAAAUAUAAUAGAAUGAUUAUUUGAAUUAAGUUCUGAGAUAUGUA